GGUCAGCGUGGCAAGGGUCAUUGCUGGGUUAGUGGGGUUCCCCUGGGACCAUCCAUCCUGAAGGGACAGGAAUCUGCAGCAGCCCUUUAAGGCCAUCAGAAAGGAUUCGGCAGGACUAUUGGCAGCACGAAAAACACUUGGCCAGAAGAGCUGCAUCAUGGGAAACACACCACAGACAGGAGCCUGCGAUGCCGAGCAGUUCGGGGUCCUCACUGCUGACAGCCUCACUUGAAAGGAAUCUGACAUGGGGAAAGGACUAAAUCAAGGCUGUAUAUUGUCACCCUGCUUAUUUAACUUAUAUACAGAGUACAUCAUGAGAAACACUGAGC
Molecule: long non-coding RNA, 329 nt
Filed under: Capra hircus (goat)
Lineage: Eukaryota; Metazoa; Chordata; Mammalia; Artiodactyla; Bovidae
Description: lncRNA (ENSCHIG00000007946.1)
Source: RNAcentral